This 498-nucleotide ribosomal RNA is filed under the name uncultured bacterium. RNAcentral's name for it is "partial 16S ribosomal RNA". It matches the Rfam family "Bacterial small subunit ribosomal RNA", at positions 30 to 523 of the family's 1533-position model. The record is from RNAcentral.
AUUGAACGCUGGCGGCAUGCCUUACACAUGCAAGUCGAACGGGAACAGGUCUUCGGAUGCUGACGAGUGGCGAACGGGUGAGUAAUACAUCGGAACGUGCCUAGUAGUGGGGGAUAACUACUCGAAAGAGUGGCUAAUACCGCAUGAGAUCUACGGAUGAAAGCAGGGGAUCGCAAGACCUUGUGCUACUAGAGCGGCCGAUGGCAGAUUAGGUAGUUGGUGGGAUAAAAGCUUACCAAGCCGACGAUCUGUAGCUGGUCUGAGAGGACGAUCAGCCAAACUGGGACUGAGACACGGCCCAGACUCCUACGGGAGGCAGCAGUGGGGAAUUUUGGACAAUGGGCGAAAGCCUGAUCCAGCAAUGCCGCGUGCAGGAUGAAGGCCUUCGGGUUGUAAACUGCUUUUGUACGGAACGAAAAGCCCCGGGUUAAUACCCUGGGGUCAUGACGGUACCGUAAGAAUAAGCACCGGCUAACUACGUGCCAGCCGCCGCGGUAA